CAGAGAGACCAGAGGAGCUCAACUGACUUGAUUUUACCUCCCCAUCUGGAGCUUUAGAGAAUUCCAAAACCAUAGGGUGAUUUGGGAACAGGUCCAAAGGGCAUGGCUGGGAACAACAAAAUGAAGAAAGCAGCAUUUCUACGAUGAAUAUCAGCAAUGUCCUGGCAUUCACGAAGACAAGAUGAUUGAGAAAACUUGCAAUUUGAACAAAUGUUUUAAUUGCAGUCUUCAUUUAUCAAGCUGUUGAAAAACCAAGAAAAAAUAAAGAAAAGAUGAUUUACCUCCAAGUUCAGAAACUAGACAUUCCAUUGAACUAAGAAGAGAGACCGUUGCUGCUGUCAUGACCUAGCUUUGAUGGCAGCAAGACCAAAAGUAGAAAUCCCUGCACUCAUCACAAAGCCCAUACAACUCAACCAAACUUACCCCUGAGCCCUAUCAACCUAGGUCUACAGCCAGUGGAGUCUAUUGUACACUGUGGAAAAAUACCCAUGGGACCAGAUCCUGCCAAAUUCUUCCAGCUCACUUUAUUCUCAGCAUUCCUAGGACAUUGGACAUUGGUUUUCUGGAGGGUUUUUUUUCCAUCUUUGUAUUUUUUUAAAUUUGAUUCUUUUCUUUGCAAUGCUAUCUAACCAGAAUACAUAGGGGAACUGUGGGCUAGGCAAACAAAAUAGAAAAAAGUGUGAAAAACAGUAAAGUUGGGAGAGGAGCAUCUAUUUUCUUAAAGAAAUAAAACAC
This 735-nucleotide long non-coding RNA is filed under the name Homo sapiens (human). Its description in RNAcentral is "non-protein coding lnc-LPA-7:1". The record is from RNAcentral. Lineage: Eukaryota; Metazoa; Chordata; Mammalia; Primates; Hominidae.